AAUUGAUUAAUAAUAUUUUGAUUUCGAAUCAAAAAAUAAAAAUCAAAUA
RNAcentral lists this transfer RNA (49 nucleotides) under Tetranychus ludeni (bean spider mite). RNAcentral describes it as "tRNA-Arg". Lineage: Eukaryota; Metazoa; Arthropoda; Arachnida; Trombidiformes; Tetranychidae. The record is from RNAcentral.